UGGGGAAUAUUGCACAAUGGGGGGAAACCCUGAUGCAGCGAUGCCGCGUGGAGGAAGAAGGUCUUCGGAUUGUAAACUCCUGUCCUAGGGGACGAUAAUGACGGUACCCUUGGAGGAAGCUCCGGCUAACUACGUGCCAGCAGCCGCGGUAAUACGUAGGGAGCGAGCGUUGUCCGGAAUUACUGGGUGUAAAGGGAGCGUAGGCGGGACGGUAAGUCAGAUGUGAAAUGUACGGGCUCAACCUGUGAACUGCAUUUGAAACUGCUGUUCUUGAGUGAAGUAGAGGUAAGCGGAAUUCCUAGUGUAGCGGUGAAAUGCGUAGAUAUUAGGAGGAACAUCGGUGGCGAAGGCGGCUUACUGGGGCUUUUACUGACGCUGAGGCUCGAAAGCGUGGGGAGCAAACAGGAUUAGAUACCCUGGUAGU
This 424-nucleotide ribosomal RNA is filed under the name uncultured Ruminococcus sp. RNAcentral describes it as "bacterial SSU rRNA". It matches the Rfam family "Bacterial small subunit ribosomal RNA", at positions 355 to 794 of the family's 1533-position model. The record is from RNAcentral. Lineage: Bacteria; Bacillati; Bacillota; Clostridia; Eubacteriales; Oscillospiraceae.